RNAcentral lists this ribosomal RNA (253 nucleotides) under uncultured bacterium. RNAcentral's name for it is "partial 16S ribosomal RNA". It matches the Rfam family "Bacterial small subunit ribosomal RNA", at positions 524 to 776 of the family's 1533-position model. The record is from RNAcentral.
UACGGGGGGAGCAAGCGUUGUUCGGAUUUACUGGGCGUAAAGGGCGCGUAGGCGGUAGCACAAGUCAGUUGUGAAAUCUCCGGGCUUAACUCGGAAAGGUCAACUGAUACUGUGCGACUAGAGUGCAGAAGGGGUAACUGGAAUUCUCGGUGUAGCGGUGAAAUGCGUAGAUAUCGAGAGGAACACCUGCGGCGAAGGCGGGUUGCUGGGCUGACACUGACGCUGAGGCGCGAAAGCCAGGGGAGCGAACGGG